Molecule: ribosomal RNA, 456 nt
Filed under: uncultured bacterium
Lineage: Bacteria
Description: bacterial SSU rRNA
Rfam family: Bacterial small subunit ribosomal RNA
Source: RNAcentral
UACGGGAGGCAGCAGGGGGAAUAUUGCACAAUGGGCGAAAGCCUGAUGCAGCUAUGCCGCGUGUAUGAAGAAGGCCUUAGGGUUGUAAAGUACUUUCAUCGGGGAGGAAAAAACAAAACUAAUAAUUUUAUUUCUUGACGUUACCCGAAAAAGAAGCACCGGCUAACUCCGUGCCAGCAGCCGCGGUAAUACGGAGGGUGCUAGCGUUAAUCAGAAUUACUGGGCGUAAAGAGCACGUAGGUGGUUUUUUUAAAGUCAGAUGUGAAAUCCCUGGGCUUAACCUAGGAACUGCAUUUUGAAACUGAAAUACUAGAGUAUCGUAGAGGGAGGUAGAAUUCUAGGUGUAGCGGUGAAAUGCGUAGAUAUCUGGAGGAAUACCUGUGGCGAAAGCGGCCUCCUAAACGAAUACUGACACUGAGGUGCGAAAGCGUGGGGAGCAAACAGGGAUUAGAUACC